RNAcentral lists this ribosomal RNA (253 nucleotides) under uncultured bacterium. RNAcentral's name for it is "partial 16S ribosomal RNA". It matches the Rfam family "Bacterial small subunit ribosomal RNA", at positions 524 to 776 of the family's 1533-position model. The record is from RNAcentral.
UACAGAGGGGGCAAGCGUUGUUCGGAAUUAUUGGGCGUAAAGGGCGCGUAGGCGGCUUUUCAAGUGACGGGUGAAAUCCCUCGGCUUAACCGAGGAACUGCCUGUCAGACUGGAAGGCUUGAGACCGGGAGAGGUGAGUGGAAUUCCCAGUGUAGCGGUGAAAUGCGUAGAUAUUGGGAGGAACACCAGUGGCGAAGGCGGCUCACUGGACCGGAACUGACGCUGAGGCGCGAAAGCGUGGGGAGCAAACGGG